AGUGCUAGCAUAGAAUCUAACAAGAAAUGGCCCUGCAUCCAUUCUCUUUUCUUCUAAUAACAGCCCCAGAUUUCCAUUUUUGGACCUACCUUUUCCUUUUUAUCAGGCUAAGUGUUCAUGGUGGGGCUCUGUCCUUAGUUCCAGGGAUAAAGCCUGUGACCCAAACUUAAACCGCAGAUCAUUUUCCCCAGGCCAUGGAGAUUGUUUCAAAUGUGGGCACAUGGCCUGAAUGGGUCAUAUCAGAGUAAAUCUUAGGGCUUCUGGGUUAUGCCACCAUCACAGGCUCUUGCUUUCCUCACUGAACUUGAACCUAGACGGAUGUAAGCUGGAGCUGUGGCAGCCAUCAUUGCCCUGUGAAAAGUCCACUUGGAGCUGCCAAAGACCACCCCAGGAGCUUCAGAAUGAAGACAACCUGGAAGUCAGAGCUGACAGAAAUAAGGUGAAGUUAGCUUGAGGAAAGAGCUGUAAGGAAGAGUGAAGUCAGCUGAGUCAAGGACACAAGCGGAAAAUGUGCAAAGAUGAGCCAGAAGCAUGGAAAAGUACCUCCAAGACAGAGGAGAACUGAUCCAAGAGAAAGGAGAUGGGAGUGGGCAUCACGUACAGCCAGAGGGCGCCACCUGCCGAAAUGCCUCUUAUUGUUUACAUUAUGAAGUCUCAACUUGGAUGGAAGCCCAACUGCAACACGGCCUCCUAAAAUGAGACGCAACUGUUCAACUGAACUGUUCUCAGGACUAAAAGGCUGUGUCAAUAAGAUACGGGGAAUAUUUGUUCUUCUGUGUGUUCCGAUCCUUGUUUUUCUUUCCCUUCGUUGAUCUCUUGUUUCACAACUUCCAACCCAAAUCUGCUCACAGCUACUAACUUGGCUUUUAACAUAUGAAACUUUCUAAAAGUAAAGUUUCAAAUGGGGAAUGAAGAGGCUCAGAAUACACUACCCCAAAACAUGUCACUCAGAACACAUCAUCCCCAAAUAUGCCACUUUGGCAUCAGAAUUAUUUUAAACUAAAGGCACAUAAAAACAGGAGAUGCAAGAAGAUCACUCUGACCUUCACUGUUCUUUAAAAGCCAGAGAUGAAAUUCCCAUGUGAAAGGUGUUCUCCCUAAACCAAGAAGAAAGUAACAUUCUCAUCACAAAGGAUAGGAAGUUGAGGCUGAUAGGAAUCUAUACAAGCAUCCCUUAUGUUCCUAAUUACUUAUUUACCCAGUUAUUUACCCUAGCAUAAGCCCCUUUGCCUUGUUACAUUUUCACAAUUCAGGGCAUAAAUGUUUGACUCUAGCUGCUGCUUUGUGUCUUCAUUUCCUUAUGAAUGCUCUCCUGCCAUUAAAAAACUUGCAUUAAAUAAUUUAUAUACUUUUCUCCUGUUGAUUUGUCUUAUGUCUAUUUAAUUCUCCAGGCCCAGGCAACAAACAAACAAACAAGAAAACAAAACAAAAACAAAAAACCCCCAACAACAACAACAACAAAACCAUAAAAGAGGAGGGGCAAAUUUUUGCCUCCUCUUCUGCAUUUUUCACAUGCUUUAUCCUGUUUUCACUUCUUUACUUUCUGGCACUAUAAGGUGUUCCAGGCUCAUCUUAUAUUUAUUUUCCCUAUCCUAGCCCUGGAAUCAGCCACUUCUACACUUCUUGAAGGAGUCCUGGUUCCUUUCAUCAGGGAACGGCAUUUCGAAAUCAAGAUCUGAGUGCUGGCUGUGCUCAUUGCUACUGGUGUCACUGCUCAUAGUCUCCUCUCUCUCAGUGGGCAGAGCUAGGUAAUUCAUGUAUGUAUAACUGACCCAUAUAUGCACACAUAUUAUAUUUUUGUAUCUACUAAAAAUAAAUCAACCAUGAGUUCAUACUGAUAUUUCUAACUCCAGUCCAGCACCAGGAUUUAUUCUAGCAUUAUCUCUGCUUAUUUGUAACUUCUUUCUGACAAUGAGAAAAGUGGAUCCCAUAGCUUACACUAUAUUUAAUUAUUUUUGAGCCCAAGUAUACCAUAGGUUUAGGGUUGUUUGUGAAAAACGAAUUUACCAAUGAGAGUUUGUUGCUUCUGUACUGUUCUUCUUGUCUUUGGCCUGACACUCUCCAGUCAAAACAUUGCUUUACAAAGGCACUUAGGUCAGCUCGUUUCUUCCCUCCUAACUUCCGUAUGGUUAUGUUUUUUUAUUUGUAAUACGGUUAGAUUCAUUUUAGCAGUCCGCUUUUCAUCUUGGAUUUCCCCAAGAUCUCAGUUGAUUUUUUAAAAAUUUGUAUACAGCAAAGUUUACCCUUUGUGGUGUAUAGGUUUAUGGGAUUGAGAAAGGCAUAGAGUCACGUGUACAACAAGACAGUUUAACUCAGAACAAUUGGACUGCCCAAAAGUUUCCUAAUGAGGCCCUUUAGUGGGGCAUCAUUUCAUAGGACUCCCCCAACUCCAGGCAACCACGGAUUUGUUUUCUAUUUUUAUAAUUUUGCUUUUUCCAGAAUGCCAUAUAAAUAGAAUCAUUCAGUAUGUAACAUUUUGGAUUUUCUCUCAUUUAGCAAAAAGAAUUUCAGAUUCAUUCAUGUGUUGUGGGUUGAUACUUUUUAUUGCUGAAUGGUAUCCCAUUGUCUGGAUAUACACAGACUUACUUACCCUUUCAUCUGUGAAAGACAGCUGAACUAUUUCUAGCUUUGGUAAUGAAUAAAGCUGCUAUAAACAUUCAGGGCCAGGCACAGUGGCUCACGCUUAUAAUCCCAGUACUUUGGGA
This 2705-nucleotide long non-coding RNA is filed under the name Homo sapiens (human). RNAcentral describes it as "HSALNT0344098". The record is from RNAcentral. Lineage: Eukaryota; Metazoa; Chordata; Mammalia; Primates; Hominidae.